GGGCGAUUGGCUCAGUUGGUUAGAGCGCUGCCUUCACACGGCAGAGGUCGUGGGUUCGAGUCCCGCAUCGCCCACC
This 76-nucleotide transfer RNA is filed under the name freshwater metagenome. Its description in RNAcentral is "tRNA-Val". It matches the Rfam family "tRNA". From Rfam's summary of the family: Transfer RNA (tRNA) molecules are approximately 80 nucleotides in length. The record is from RNAcentral.